AUGGAGUUUGGUUUGGACAAAUGUUCGACAGUGGCAUUGAAGAAGGGAAAAAUCAUUGAAAGUGAGGGCAUAAAUAUGCCUAAUGGCCAAACAAUAAAGUGUCACCAGCCAGAGGCCUAUAAAUAUCUGGGCAUAUUACAGCUGGACAACAUCAAGCAUGAACAUGUGAAGACUGCGGUCAGUAAAGAAUACACACAAAGGGUCAGAAAAAUUCUCAAAAGCAAGCUCAAUGGAGGCAACACUAUCAAGGCCAUAAACACCUGGGCCAUACCUGUCAUAAGAUAUACUGCUGGCAUUAUAAAUUGGACACAGGCGGAACUGGACAGCUUGGACAGAAAAACAAGAAAACUCAUGACAAUUCAUCAUUCACUGCACCCUCGCAGUGAUGUUGACCGGCUAUAUCUGCCUAGAAGAUCAGGGGGUAGAGGACUCUUACAAGUAAAACAAGCAGUCAAAGAAGAAGAACAUGCCCUGGCAGAAUAUGUAAAGCAAAGUGAAGAACCUGCUUUGAUUGAAGUCAAAAAUCAGAAACUCCUCAAUGGACAGCAGAUAAAAAACCAGUACAAGAAAACCACACUACAAACUAGAGCUGACAGCUGGCACAACAAAACAUUGCAUGGAAAGGUCCUUGACAAAAUUGAAGGAAAAGCUGAUAAGGAGAAGACCUGGCUAUGGCUCAUGAAUGGGACCCUGAAGAAGGAGACAGAAGGCCUGAUCCUUGCAGCCCAGGAGCAAGCCAUCAGGACAAAUGCAAUUAAGGCCAAGAUCGAAAAAUCAGCUGAUGACCCAAAAUGCAGACUGUGCAAGGAAGCUGACGAAACCAUUGAUCAUAUCCUCAGCUGCUGUAAGAAAAUUGCACAGACAGACUACAAACAGAGGCACAACUAUGUGGCCCAAAUGAUUCAUUGGAACUUAUGCCUGAAGUACCACCUCCCAGCAGCAAAGACCUGGUGGGAUCACAAACCUGCAAAAGUAUUGGAAAAUGAGCACGCAAAGAUACUGUGGGACUUCCGAAUCCAGACUGACAAAGUUCUAGAACACAAGACACCAGACAUCACAGUUGUGGAAAAGAAAAAGGGUGGGAUCAUUGAUGUUGCCAUCCCAGGUGACAGUCGCAUUGACGAAAAACAACAGGAAAAACUCAGCCGCUAUCAGGACCUCAAUAUUGAACUUCAAAGACUCUGGCAGAAACCAGUGCAGGUGAUCCCGGUGGUGAUGGGCACACUGGGUGCCAUGCCAAAAGAUCUCAGCCGGCAUUUGGAAACAAUAGACAUUGACAAAAUCACGAUCUGCCAACUGCAAAAGGCCACCCUACUGGGAUCUGCACGCAUCAUCCGAAAAUACAUCACACAGUCCUAG
Molecule: long non-coding RNA, 1359 nt
Filed under: Anolis carolinensis (green anole)
Lineage: Eukaryota; Metazoa; Chordata; Lepidosauria; Squamata; Anolidae
Description: lncRNA (ENSACAG00000035143.1)
Source: RNAcentral